RNAcentral lists this ribosomal RNA (497 nucleotides) under uncultured bacterium. RNAcentral's name for it is "partial 16S ribosomal RNA". It matches the Rfam family "Bacterial small subunit ribosomal RNA", at positions 28 to 507 of the family's 1533-position model. The record is from RNAcentral.
GAUGAACGCUGGCGGCGUGCCUAAUACAUGCAAGUCGAGCGAACAGACGAGGAGCUUGCUCCUCUGACGUUAGCGGCGGACGGGUGAGUAACACGUGGAUAACCUACCUAUAAGACUGGGAUAACUUCGGGAAACCGGAGCUAAUACCGGAUAAUAUAUUGAACCGCAUGGUUCAAUAGUGAAAGACGGUUUUGCUGUCACUUGUAGAUGGAUCCGCGCCGCAUUAGCUAGUUGGUAAGGUAACGGCUUACCAGGGCAACGAUGCGUAGCCGACCUGAGAGGGUGAUCGGCCACACUGGAACUGAGACACGGUCCAGACUCCUACGGGAGGCAGCAGUAGGGAAUCUUCCGCAAUGGGCGAAAGCCUGACGGAGCAACGCCGCGUGAGUGAUGAAGGUCUUCGGAUCGUAAAACUCUGUUAUUAGGGAAGAACAAAUGUGUAAGUAACUAUGCACGUCUUGACGGUACCUAAUCAGAAAGCCACGGCUAACUACGUG